RNAcentral lists this ribosomal RNA (1441 nucleotides) under human gut metagenome. Its description in RNAcentral is "bacterial SSU rRNA". It matches the Rfam family "Bacterial small subunit ribosomal RNA". The record is from RNAcentral.
AGAGUUUGAUCCUGGCUCAGGAUGAACGCUGGCGGCGUGCUUAACACAUGCAAGUCGAACGGGAUCCAAGGGUGCUUGCAUCCUUGGUGAGAGUGGCGAACGGGUGAGUAACACGUGAGUAACCUGUCCUUUUCUUUGGGAUAAGCUCCUGAAAGGGUGUUUAAUACCUUAUGUUCUGUCUGCCUCGCAUGGGGUGGGUGGGAAAGAUUUUUUCGGUGAAGGGUGGGCUCGCGGUCUAUCAGCUUGUUGGUGGGGUGAUGGCUUACCAAGGCUUUGACGGGUAGCCGGCCUGAGAGGGUGGUCGGUCACAUUGGGACUGAGAUACGGCCCAGACUCCUGCGGGAGGCAGCAGUGGGGGAUAUUGCACAAUGGGCGCAAGCCUGAUGCAGCGACGCCGCGUGGGGGAUGAAGGCCUUCGGGUUGUAAACUUCUUUUGCUCUGAACAAGGCAUGCUAGUGGGUGUGUUGAGUGUAGGGGUUGAUUAGCGCCGGCUAACUACGUGCCAGCAGCCGCGGUAAUACGUAGGGCGCGAGCGUUGUCCGGAAUUAUUGGGCGUAAAGGGCUUGUAGGUGGCUGGUUGCGUCUGUCGUGAAAGCUCAUGGCUUAACUGUGGGUUUGCGGUGGGUACGGGCUGGCUUGAGUGCAGUAGGGGAGGCUGGAAUUCCUGGUGUAGCGGUGGAAUGCGCAGAUAUCAGGAGGAAUACCGGUGGCGAAGGCGGGUCUCUGGGCUGUUACUGACACUGAGGAGCGAAAGCAUGGGGAGCGAACAGGAUUAGAUACCCUGGUAGUCCAUGCUGUAAACGGUGGCAAGGCUAAAACUCAAAGGAAUUGACGGGGGCCCGCACAAGCGGCGGAGCAUGCGGAUUAAUUCGAUGCAACGCGAAGAACCUUACCAAGGCUUGACAUGCACUGGACUGGCCCAGAGAUGGGUUUUCCUUUUUGGCUGGUGUGCAGGUGGUGCAUGGUUGUCGUCAGCUCGUGUCGUGAGAUGUUGGGUUAAGUCCCGCAACGAGCGCAACCCUUGUCCUAUGUUGCCAGCAAGUUGUGUUGGGGACUCGUGGGAGACUGCCGGGGUUAACUCGGAGGAAGGUGGGGAUGACGUCAAAUCAUCAUGCCCCUUAUGUCUUGGGCUUCACGCAUGCUACAUUGGCGUCUACAGAGGGUUGCGAUACCGUAAGGUGGGGCGAAUCUCUUAAAGGGCGUCUUGGUUCGGAUCGGGGUCUGCAACUCGGCCCCGUGAAGGUGGAGUCGCUAGUAAUCGCAGAUCAGCAACGCUGCGGUGAAUACGUUCUCGGGCCUUGUACACACCGCCCGUCACGUCACGAAAGUUGGUAACACUCGAAGCUUGUGGCCUAUCUCUUUUUGAGGGGGAGCGGGUGAAGGUGGGGCUAGCGAUUGGGACGAAGUCGUAACAAGGUAGCCGUACCGGAAGGUGCGGCUG